AAGAAAGUGGCAGAACGGUCAUGCGGCUGGCUUGAAACCAGUAUACGGGGGUUCAAUUCCUCCCUUUCUCG
RNAcentral lists this transfer RNA (71 nucleotides) under Chanos chanos (milkfish). It matches the Rfam family "tRNA". From Rfam's summary of the family: Transfer RNA (tRNA) molecules are approximately 80 nucleotides in length. Their secondary structure includes four short double-helical elements and three loops (D, anti-codon, and T loops). Further hydrogen bonds mediate the characteristic L-shaped molecular structure. tRNAs have two regions of fundamental functional importance: the anti-codon, which is responsible for specific mRNA codon recognition, and the 3' end, to which the tRNAs corresponding amino acid is attached (by aminoacyl-tRNA synthetases). tRNAs cope with the degeneracy of the genetic code in two manners: having more than one tRNA (with a specific anti-codon) for a particular amino acid; and 'wobble' base-pairing, i.e. permitting non-standard base-pairing at the 3rd anti-codon position. The record is from Rfam by way of RNAcentral. Lineage: Eukaryota; Metazoa; Chordata; Actinopteri; Gonorynchiformes; Chanidae.